This 300-nucleotide ribosomal RNA is filed under the name Pseudomonas sp. It matches the Rfam family "Bacterial small subunit ribosomal RNA", at positions 195 to 476 of the family's 1533-position model. Lineage: Bacteria; Pseudomonadati; Pseudomonadota; Gammaproteobacteria; Pseudomonadales; Pseudomonadaceae. The record is from RNAcentral.
UACGGGAGAAAGCAGGGGACCUUCGGGCCUUGCGCUAUCAGAUGAGCCUAGGUCGGAUUAGCUAGUUGGUGGGGUAAUGGCUCACCAAGGCGACGAUCCGUAACUGGUCUGAGAGGAUGAUCAGUCACACUGGAACUGAGACACGGUCCAGACUCCUACGGGAGGCAGCAGUGGGGAAUAUUGGACAAUGGGCGAAAGCCUGAUCCAGCCAUGCCGCGUGUGUGAAGAAGGUCUUCGGAUUGUAAAGCACUUUAAGUUGGGAGGAAGGGCAUUUACCUAAUACGUAAGUGUUUUGACGUU